Molecule: ribosomal RNA, 253 nt
Filed under: uncultured bacterium
Lineage: Bacteria
Description: partial 16S ribosomal RNA
Rfam family: Bacterial small subunit ribosomal RNA
Source: RNAcentral
UACAGAGGAUGCAAGCGUUAUCCGGAAUGAUUGGGCGUAAAGCGUCUGUAGGUGGCUUUUUAAGUCCGCCGUCAAAUCCCAGGGCUCAACUCUGGACAGGCGGUGGAAACUACCAAGCUGGAGUACGGUAGGGGCAGAGGGAAUUUCCGGUGGAGCGGUGAAAUGCGUAGAUAUCUGGAGGAAUACCGGUGGCGAAGGCGGCAUCCUGGACCGGCAUUGACGCUGAGGAGCGAAAGCUAGGGGAGCAAACGGG